UGCCAAUAGUCCAUAUACCAGGAGCAUUCU
This 30-nucleotide non-coding RNA is filed under the name Rattus norvegicus (Norway rat). The record is from RNAcentral. Lineage: Eukaryota; Metazoa; Chordata; Mammalia; Rodentia; Muridae.